RNAcentral lists this ribosomal RNA (253 nucleotides) under uncultured bacterium. RNAcentral describes it as "partial 16S ribosomal RNA". It matches the Rfam family "Bacterial small subunit ribosomal RNA", at positions 524 to 776 of the family's 1533-position model. The record is from RNAcentral.
UACGAAGGGAGCGAGCGUUGUUCGGAAUCACUGGGCUUAAAGCGUGCGUAGGCGGUCUGUCACGUCGGCUGUGAAAACCCGAGGCUCAACCUCGGGCCUGCAGUCGAUACGGGCAAACUAGAGUACUGCAGGGGAGACUGGAAUUCCUGGUGUAGCGGUGAAAUGCGCAGAUAUCAGGAGGAACACCGGUGGCGAAGGCGGGUCUCUGGGCAGUAACUGACGCUGAGGAGCGAAAGCGUGGGGAGCGAACAGG